GAGCGUCCGAGUCAGCUUGACGGUGCCGGUCGCGUCAGUAUGCCGCGCAGCGCGCAGGCUCGCGUACGCGUAUUGUUUCUAUCUGUUUUCGGUUCCCUUCGUUUCUUUCGUUUGCCCUCUUCCUCGCUCUUUCGGUGUCUCCUACGCACGGCAGCGCGGCUGGAAUACGCAAAUACAAAUAUCUUCGCUGUUUACGCGUUGCGCGUUGUCGUUCCGUCCACAUUUUUUCUCCCUCCUCGUAAGGAAAACUCGCAAAUACGAGGAAAAUUCAAGUGUCGUUGCGUCGUUUCCAGUGCACGCGCGAGCGUACCAAGAGUGCCGGUAGGCUCGAAUUCGAUCGGAGAACCUGUUAUCGGGCGCGUGUGCGCGUGAGCUCGUGACACAGUGACACGGUGCGUGUGGUUCUGUACGUGAGCGAACCUUGCGCCUCGCGGAAAGAGCGGGAAACUCGAUGCUCCUCGGGAUUUCGAAAUGCUUUGACGUAUGCAGGGUGCGGUGAAAGAUCUUGUCCAUGAAACAAAUUUCAAGCAACGAACUAGAGACCCAUUUUAAUAAAACAUUUGGCAAUUCGAGUUAUGCGAUCACAUGACGUUCCACCUCGAAGACACAAACUCCGAAUAUUCCAAACUCCAAAUUGUCCAACAUAAUAUAUACUGCAAAUUAAUCGAUAUAGAAAAAGUAUAUUUGAGUAAAAUUUUGGCGAAUCCCGAUGCGGAUGGAACAAAGACGCGGCACGAAAUGAAGCGAGCGUAUACUUGAGCGAUCGAUAUAACACCACCACGGUAAAUAUCAAGAGGUUCGUAUUUCCAGCGCGCACGAACCUAACCUAGACUGCACCUCGAGCUUCGUGCCUUGGUAAACACGAUCAAUGUCGUCCGUCGUUUCGACUGGUUCGACGAGGAUGCCGUGAAAGUAACGUUACCGCUGCUCGACAGAACCAAAGGACAUCGAACGCAUGAACAGCCUCAAGUCGUUCAUAUCCUUGCGCGGCAUUUUGAUGGUUCGACUAAACGCGAUGACAGGUGGUGGACUCGAUUGUUGAUCGACCGAACCGCGGGCGAUUUGUUCGAUCGACGAUCGAAAACUUGAUAUAUUCAAGGGAGGCCGAUCAACCCCGGAAGAAUUGCGACUGCGACGUACGACGGGACGGAAAAUUGCGGGAGUCGGAUAGAGCAGCGCAGGAGAGAGAAUCCGAGGCGCUUUUAUUUUUAGCCAACGUCGCUUCGCGCAUCGCAAAAACCGGUUUCCGAGUCUCGGGGCCCGAGCCACGAGUCUGUCCCACUUUCUAGAAUCGCCCUGUACACGCCAGAAGGAUUUUAGGUGAAAAGUGAGGAAACGAGAGGGAGAGACACGCGAUAUAAAGGUGGAGUAUGGUCUUCGGUCAUUCUCCGUCCUUCGUUCGGGAAAGAAGGAAACAAAGAGUGAGACUCGAGGAACGUGGAAUUCGCCUAAGCCCGAUGUACACCUCUCCUCUUCUCUUCUACAUUCUCUCCCACCUCGAACUAUCGAUUGCAUGCAUGCACGCGCCUAUCCAUACACGAAGCGGUACGUGACAUCGUGGAGUGCGUGAGAUUCGAUCAUCGAGCGGUUCGACGACGCGAUGUGCCCGUCGCUCGACGUAAUUAGUCGACCUUGAUACACGUAAAGAUACCGAUAGAUGAUCGUAGCCGCAGUUUCCCAACGAAUUCGAUCCAUGAAGCGGCUACGCAGAGACAUUGGGAGAGUGAUUAGGUGAAUUAACGAAAGAGGACCGAACCAAAUGAAGUGAGAAGAGUUAAAGAAGUUUAAGAAGAGGUCGAAUAAACGAUUGGUUGCGUGGCACACGAGAUCGACGAGACACGAGAACGGCAUGAAGAAUGGCAACCGAUUCGAGCAACCGUCAAGACGUAAGGGCGGUCGCCACGACGACUACCGAUCCGCAGCGAAGCGAAAAGCGCGCCGUCGCGGCGCGAAGCGCCGCCGGUGCUCUGGCCCUCAGUGUUCUGGCCGUAGUCCUCCAAUCGGCGGCUACGGCGACCCCCACCUGGGGCUACUUCACCAAUCCUGACGAUCGUUCAGAUUCGUGACUUUCCAACGUGAUCAAUCCACGAUCAAAUCGAGAAUGGGCAAAGACGAUCAGACAUUUUGGUCUAGCAUUGAUCCACGUGUUUCCGCGACUCGUGCAGCUCGUGUUCGACGAUUUUCUCACGAACGAUGGCGAGCACUGCUCACAAACCUGUGGGACAUCGUAUCCAUCGUUCCGCCAUGGUCCCCUCGGCUUCCAUUAAGUCACGAGGGUUAUUACCGACGGAGCAACCAUCUGUAAUUGGUACGAAAGUCGAGCGUGCGAGCGAAUUGCGCACCGUAUACGUAUAUCUGCGAACCGUGGCUGUCGCGACGUUCUCCUUUUCUCUAGACGCGGUGCACUCCCGUUUCCGUUUUCAUUCACCCGGAUGUUGAACUCCCAAGGAACCUUCUCGUCGCGAGUAAAUGUCUCUGUUCAGACUCCGAAAGAUUUUUAUUCGAGCAAUAGAUGACUAAUAAAACACUAGACAUUUAUUUGCAAUGUCGAAUAUUUCUAAACAAAUACUACUCAAAUACUCAAAAACAAUUUAAAAUUUAUCGAUAUUAUGCAAGUGAUCGAAUACUUAAAAUAUACUCGGAG
Long non-coding RNA from Hylaeus volcanicus, 2644 nucleotides. RefSeq lists it as uncharacterized. The transcript is spliced from 3 exons. The record is from RefSeq and is a predicted model, not a curated record. NCBI's taxonomy places the organism in Eukaryota, Metazoa, Arthropoda, Insecta, Hymenoptera, Colletidae.